Molecule: long non-coding RNA, 361 nt
Organism: Dreissena polymorpha
Lineage: Eukaryota; Metazoa; Mollusca; Bivalvia; Myida; Dreissenidae
Exons: 3
Source: RefSeq, a predicted model, not a curated record
AGUCGAGCCAUGCAAACCCAAUCCAUGCAAAACAGGGGAAACGUGCAUUACCUCUGCGAAUAUUUUCACAUGUGUACAUUCUUCUGAUCCCCUUGGAUAUAACCGUUCUACUGAGAAGAAAUCUGGAGACGGUUUGUUUCCGAUUUACAUCGUUAUUCCAUCAGUUGGUAUUCCCACCUUAAUCCUUUAAUCAGCAUUGUUGGUUCACAUCAUUCAACACAAAUGGCGUCGUAACCAGCUGGAAGUCCGCAAUAAACACUGACUUACUAUUCUGUAACGGCCAGAAGGAAAAUGCUUACUUAGCGAACGACUUGAACAUGCAUUCUUUAUUAAAUUCUACUGAAUACCGUUAGGGCCAUCG